RNAcentral lists this ribosomal RNA (1424 nucleotides) under Limosilactobacillus fermentum. RNAcentral describes it as "bacterial SSU rRNA". It matches the Rfam family "Bacterial small subunit ribosomal RNA". The record is from RNAcentral. Lineage: Bacteria; Bacillati; Bacillota; Bacilli; Lactobacillales; Lactobacillaceae.
CGCGUUGGCCCAAUUGAUUGAUGGUGCUUGCACCUGAUUGAUUUUGGUCGCCAACGAGUGGCGGACGGGUGAGUAACACGUAGGUAACCUGCCCAGAAGCGGGGGACAACAUUUGGAAACAGAUGCUAAUACCGCAUAACAGCGUUGUUCGCAUGAACAACGCUUAAAAGAUGGCUUCUCGCUAUCACUUCUGGAUGGACCUGCGGUGCAUUAGCUUGUUGGUGGGGUAACGGCCUACCAAGGCGAUGAUGCAUAGCCGAGUUGAGAGACUGAUCGGCCACAAUGGGACUGAGACACGGCCCAUACUCCUACGGGAGGCAGCAGUAGGGAAUCUUCCACAAUGGGCGCAAGCCUGAUGGAGCAACACCGCGUGAGUGAAGAAGGGUUUCGGCUCGUAAAGCUCUGUUGUUAAAGAAGAACACGUAUGAGAGUAACUGUUCAUACGUUGACGGUAUUUAACCAGAAAGUCACGGCUAACUACGUGCCAGCAGCCGCGGUAAUACGUAGGUGGCAAGCGUUAUCCGGAUUUAUUGGGCGUAAAGAGAGUGCAGGCGGUUUUCUAAGUCUGAUGUGAAAGCCUUCGGCUUAACCGGAGAAGUGCAUCGGAAACUGGAUAACUUGAGUGCAGAAGAGGGUAGUGGAACUCCAUGUGUAGCGGUGGAAUGCGUAGAUAUAUGGAAGAACACCAGUGGCGAAGGCGGCUACCUGGUCUGCAACUGACGCUGAGACUCGAAAGCAUGGGUAGCGAACAGGAUUAGAUACCCUGGUAGUCCAUGCCGUAAACGAUGAGUGCUAGGUGUUGGAGGGUUUCCGCCCUUCAGUGCCGGAGCUAACGCAUUAAGCACUCCGCCUGGGGAGUACGACCGCAAGGUUGAAACUCAAAGGAAUUGACGGGGGCCCGCACAAGCGGUGGAGCAUGUGGUUUAAUUCGAAGCUACGCGAAGAACCUUACCAGGUCUUGACAUCUUGCGCCAACCCUAGAGAUAGGGCGUUUCCUUCGGGAACGCAAUGACAGGUGGUGCAUGGUCGUCGUCAGCUCGUGUCGUGAGAUGUUGGGUUAAGUCCCGCAACGAGCGCAACCCUUGUUACUAGUUGCCAGCAUUAAGUUGGGCACUCUAGUGAGACUGCCGGUGACAAACCGGAGGAAGGUGGGGACGACGUCAGAUCAUCAUGCCCCUUAUGACCUGGGCUACACACGUGCUACAAUGGACGGUACAACGAGUCGCGAACUCGCGAGGGCAAGCAAAUCUCUUAAAACCGUUCUCAGUUCGGACUGCAGGCUGCAACUCGCCUGCACGAAGUCGGAAUCGCUAGUAAUCGCGGAUCAGCAUGCCGCGGUGAAUACGUUCCCGGGCCUUGUACACACCGCCCGUCACACCAUGAGAGUUUGUAACACCCAAAGUCGGUGGGGUAACCUUUUAGGA